Molecule: non-coding RNA, 104 nt
Filed under: Rossellomorea aquimaris
Lineage: Bacteria; Bacillati; Bacillota; Bacilli; Caryophanales; Bacillaceae
Also listed under: 1 other name
Description: Bacillus aquimaris SAM riboswitch aptamer (S box leader)
Rfam family: SAM riboswitch aptamer (S box leader)
About the family: The SAM riboswitch is found upstream of a number of genes which code for proteins involved in methionine or cysteine biosynthesis in Gram-positive bacteria. The SAM riboswitch acts at the level of transcription termination control.
Source: Rfam by way of RNAcentral
UCCUUAUCAAGAGCCGGGGGAGGAAUCUGGUCCCGUGAUCCCGCAGCAACCGUUACUUGUAACAAGGUGCUAAUUCCAGCAAGCAGAUGCUUGAAAGAUGAGUG